CAAAAACAUCGCCUCUUGAAUAAAAUAAGAGGUCCAGCCUGCCCAGUGAAAUUAUUCAACGGCCGCGGUAUCCUAACCGUGCGAAGGUAGCGUAAUCACUUGUUCUUUAAAUGAGGACUAGUAUGAAUGGCACCACGAGGGUUCUACUGUCUCCUUUUUUUAAUCAGUGAAACUAAUCUCCCCGUGAAGAAGCGGGGAUCUUUAUAUAAGACGAGAAGACCCUAUGGAGCUUUAAACAACCAACAUUUGCUACACCAUAACAUUUCCCCUAAAAGAAGUAUAGCAUUAUGAUUAUUAGUUUUCGAUUGGGGUGAUCACGGAGUAAAAUAUAACCUCCAUGCCGAAAGGGUUCUUACCCUGAGCAAAAAGCCACAGCUUUAAGCACUAAAAAAUUAACGCAGUUUGACCCAAUAUUUUGAUCAACGAACCAAGUUACCCUAGGGAUAACAGCGCAAUCCACUUCAAGAGCUCCUAUCGACAGGUGGGUUUACGACCUCGAUGUUGGAUCAGGGUAUCCAAGUGGUGCAGCCGCUACUAAUGGUUCGUUUGUUCAACGAUUAAAACC
RNAcentral lists this ribosomal RNA (565 nucleotides) under Boana boans group sp. ABGD cluster 15. Its description in RNAcentral is "partial large subunit ribosomal RNA". It matches the Rfam family "Bacterial large subunit ribosomal RNA", at positions 1808 to 2595 of the family's 2925-position model. Lineage: Eukaryota; Metazoa; Chordata; Amphibia; Anura; Hylidae. The record is from RNAcentral.